Molecule: ribosomal RNA, 467 nt
Filed under: uncultured bacterium
Lineage: Bacteria
Description: partial 16S ribosomal RNA
Rfam family: Bacterial small subunit ribosomal RNA
Source: RNAcentral
GAUGAACGCUGGCGGCGCGCCUAACACAUGCAAGUCGAACGAUUAAAGCACCUUCGGGUGUGUAUAAAGUGGCGAACGGCUGAGUAACACGUGGGCAACCUGCCCCUUUCAUUGGGAUAGCCACGGGAAACCGUGGAUAAUACCGAAUACUUCGAGACUUCCGCAUGGAAGACUCGAGAAAGCUCCGGCGGAGAGGGAUGGGCCCGCGGCCUGUUAGCUUGUUGGUGGGGUAACGGCCUACCAAGGCAAUGAUGGGUAGCUGGGUUGAGAGACCGACCAGCCAGAUUGGGACUGAGACACGGCCCAGACUCCUACGGGAGGCAGCAGUGGGGAAUCUUGCACAAUGGGCGAAAGCCUGAUGCAGCGACGCCGCGUGCGGGAUGAAGGCCUUCGGGCUGUAAACCGCUUCCAGCAGGGACGAGGCGAAAGUGACGGUACCUGCAGAAGAAGCCCCGGCUAACUACGUG